GAGUUUGAUCAUGGCUCAGAGUGAACGCUGGCGGCAGGCCUAACACAUGCAAGUCGAACGGCAGCACAGCAGUAGCAAUACUGUGGGUGGCGAGUGGCGGACGGGUGAGGAAUGCAUCGGAAUCUGCCUAUUUGUGGGGGAUAACGUAGGGAAACUUACGCUAAUACCGCAUACGUCCUACGGGAGAAAGUGGGGGACCGCAAGGCCUCACGCAGAUAGAUGAGCCGAUGCCGGAUUAGCUAGUUGGCGGGGUAAAGGCCCACCAAGGCGACGAUCCGUAGCUGGUCUGAGAGGAUGAUCAGCCACACUGGAACUGAGACACGGUCCAGACUCCUACGGGAGGCAGCAGUGGGGAAUAUUGGACAAUGGGCGCAAGCCUGAUCCAGCCAUGCC
This 393-nucleotide ribosomal RNA is filed under the name uncultured Gammaproteobacteria bacterium. Its description in RNAcentral is "bacterial SSU rRNA". It matches the Rfam family "Bacterial small subunit ribosomal RNA", at positions 9 to 398 of the family's 1533-position model. Lineage: Bacteria; Pseudomonadati; Pseudomonadota; Gammaproteobacteria. The record is from RNAcentral.